GUAAAUAAAUGAUAAUUGUAUAGAAAUUGUAAGAUAAAGCGAGACCUGAGUGUGGUCACGCAUUUUGUAUGUGUUGCACUUACAUAUAAAGGGCGAAAACGCAUAAAAAUCAUUUGGUCCCCAUGACAAAUUAUAUCUCGUUCGUUUGAAGGGGCAUUAUCUCAGGACAAGAUAAGGGACCGGUCAAUAUUUAUGGCGGGGGGUGGCACCGAAGAGAAAAGGGUUGGGUAAACAAAAUUUUGAGUGAGUAAAAGGUUGGGUAAAUGAAAAACAAAACAACUCAGGGGUUGGGUAAUAAAAAAUUAUUGUCAUUUCCAAAGCAUGAUUCACUGAAAUAUUGGAGACUAAAAAGCCUGAACAGUAGUCAGUCAUAUGUCAAUACAAUACCGUAUGUGAAUCAAUCAGAGUGACUAUCUCUUGAUCAUUUUCCGAUUUGUUGGGAGACAAAUGGUACCUCCAAAGAAAGUACAUGUGCAGACAACAUGAAACUUUAAACUGCAGAAAAUUUUACAAUCCGUUAUCAAACUCAUGUGACAGAACGUCACACUAUUGUAAAGUUUUUGGCCAGGGGUGGGUAUUUAUUUUUAAAUUGAUAUUUGAGGUUGGGUAA
Non-coding RNA from Paramuricea clavata, 610 nucleotides. The record is from the annotation of a GenBank genome assembly. NCBI's taxonomy places the organism in Eukaryota, Metazoa, Cnidaria, Anthozoa, Malacalcyonacea, Plexauridae.